Oncorhynchus mykiss (rainbow trout) is the source of this 1077-nucleotide non-coding RNA. Lineage: Eukaryota; Metazoa; Chordata; Actinopteri; Salmoniformes; Salmonidae. The record is from RefSeq and is a predicted model, not a curated record.
CCCCUGACAGCACCUGCACGGCCCCAGGAGCCUGAGGGGUGUAAAGGGCUAGAGCUCAAAAAGGCGGAGAGCCGAGACAAGACAGAGCGGUCACAGGAUAAGUCAUCAUCGAACUGUUAGCCUCACCCCAUUGAUCAGUACAUGGAUGUCCAUUAGCAGCAUUCCCAUAAGAGGCACCCCCUGCAGUAGAUGAAGCAAGCGCACGUGUGUUCCACAACAUUCCAGUCUGAACAGCCAGGUCCAUGGACAUGCACUUACAGCCUUCCCUCAUCCCAACUCCAUGUGGCUGACUACUAGCAUGCCUAGAGGUGAAUGAGAGGAGUGGACAGCACCCAUUCCCAAAAGGAGUGCCACUCACACAGUAUCGCUUCUGGCUGUUGUCUGGCGUAGCCUGCAUAUAUUUCUGCUCCGUGAAAUCUGAAUCUGUUCAUGUGGUAACUCAUAGUAUACUCUCCCUUGUCCUCUCUAUGGCAUUGUUUUUAUUUUGGUUCGAAGGUGGAGGGAGGGGAGGAUCUUAAGCAUUAGACAGAUUGGUGUUGCAGGAGAUCCGUUGAUCAUGCAUUAGGGGAAGUUUUCUGUUAGGCUAAAGAGGAAUGCAUGAGGAGGAUAAGAGGGUGUUGUCCUGUUGUCAUUGUUGGAAGAACUGACAUUAUUGCUCCCAUCAACCUCACGUCCCACCAUGAUGCUGUACAUUUGUUACUCUUGGUGUCCCGGAUCCUUUGAUGUCACACCAAGCCUUGUGUUUUAUUAAUGGUCAUUUAAGAGUGUAAUGGUGGAUGUUGACUAGAAAUAUUUAGUAAAUGUUACAUGUUUUUGGUAGAAGGUACUUUUAUCAUCAUGCUGCUGCUGACAAACUUUCCCCUGACAAACUGUACAAUUACAGUUGACAGUUUAUGUUGAUGAAUGGACAAUAUUUUACUGACUCCAUAAGUAUAGUCAACGUAUUUCAGGCCAUUUAAAGGGGUAAUCUGCAGUUCAAACAAUAACAAAGUCUUUACCCCGCCACUUUUUCGAUAACCAGCUGAGUGAUGGGGUUGGCGAAAAGUAACCACUCAAAUUCCUAGACAGAGCUAUGGA